RNAcentral lists this ribosomal RNA (514 nucleotides) under uncultured bacterium. Its description in RNAcentral is "partial 16S ribosomal RNA". It matches the Rfam family "Bacterial small subunit ribosomal RNA", at positions 28 to 523 of the family's 1533-position model. The record is from RNAcentral.
GAUGAACGCUGGCGGCGUGCCCAAUACAUGCAAGUCGAGCGAACGUCAUAGAAGCUUGCUUCUAUGACGUUAGCGGCGGACGGGUGAGUAACACGUGGGCAACCUGCCUGUAAGACUGGGAUAACUUCGGGAAACCGAAGCUAAUACCGGAUAGGAUCUUCUCCUUCGUGGGAGAUGAUUGAAAGAUGGUUUCGGCUAUCACUUACAGAUGGGCCCGCGGUGCAUUAGCUAGUUGGUGAGGUAACGGCUCACCAAGGCAACGAUGCAUAGCCGACCUGAGAGGGUGAUCGGACACACUGGGACUGGGACACGGCCCAGACUCCGACGGGAGGCAGCAGUAGGGAAUCUUCCGCAAUGGACGAAAGUCUGACGGAGCAACGCCGCGUGAGUGAUGAAGGCUUUCGGGUCGUAAAACUCUGUUGUUAGGGAAGAACAAGUACGAGAGUAACUGCUCGUACCUUGACGGCACCUAACCAGAAAGCCACGGCUAACUACGUGCCAGCCGCCGCCGUAA